Syzygium oleosum is the source of this 1031-nucleotide RNA transcript. It is a transcript of the gene named protein EARLY FLOWERING 4, with no coding region annotated. The transcript is spliced from 2 exons. The record is from RefSeq and is a predicted model, not a curated record. NCBI's taxonomy places the organism in Eukaryota, Viridiplantae, Streptophyta, Magnoliopsida, Myrtales, Myrtaceae.
CUGAAGAAGAAGAAGAAGAAGAAGAAGACAUGUCUGCCCAAGCUUCGCCGCCGGAGUGACGACCACGCCGCUCGAUUCCUCCUCCCCCGCCUCCGCCGCCGGAUCGAGCAUGGACGGAGCCGCCGCCGCCGCCGCCGGCCAGCACCGCCGCCGCAGCCAGUCCUCCGCCAGGCCCAACCCCUCCACCGUCACCACCGCCACCACCGCCCGCCUCGGCGACUCGCUGAGGGGCUCCCCCGACGAGGCCGACGAGGCCCUCGAGUGCGACCCCGAGGUGUGGCGGAUGUUCAACCAGAGCUUCAGGCGGGUCCAGACCGUGCUCGACCGGAACCGCGCCCUGAUCCAGCAGGUGAACGAGAACCACCAGUCCAAGAGCGCCGACAACAUGGUCAAGAACGUGGCUCUGAUCCAGGAGAUCAACCAGAACAUAUCGAAGGUGGUCUCGCUGUACUCCGAUCUCUCCUCGGAUUUCUCCACCGCGUUCCACGGGCGAGAGGCGAACGGUGCCGACCCUGCGUCCAAAGAAAGCAGCCCCGAAUCGUGAGCCCUAUCGAAACUCUUUCUAUUGAAUGGAAAAUUUUUUUCUGGAGGAAUGAAGGUCCAGUUGCCUUGGGUUUGCAAAUUAGGAUGACGAUUGACUAGGGUUUGCCAUGAACAGAUAUUCUCCGGCUUCUAUCUUUGUUCGUGGGUGUUGAUUUCAUCAGAUUUGCUGGGCAAGAACAGAUGGAUUGCGCUUUAGGAGCGCUGUAAUGACUUUCGCCCAACUUUGAUCUGAUGUAAAGAGCUCGAUCUGUUCUAGCUGUCUUACUUGUAUUCAUAUACUUGCUAUGUCCCUUCGGUAUAAAUCUCACAUUAUGGGAGGUAACCGUGUAAUUUCUCACAUCCGAUCUGAACUUAGGGCCUUAUCUCCCAAUGACGACCCAUCGUCAUUGCGCAUAAGCCCCGAUUGUUUGUAGGUGUCUUUACUUGUGAUAGCCAUUGCUUUGGCGAUCAAGUCAAUGGACGGAAUCUUCAUUUCUUUAUUGGCAUAA